This 598-nucleotide long non-coding RNA is filed under the name Homo sapiens (human). Its description in RNAcentral is "non-protein coding lnc-DRD1-2:1". The record is from RNAcentral. Lineage: Eukaryota; Metazoa; Chordata; Mammalia; Primates; Hominidae.
UGACCUAGGAUAGGGACAGUGCUAGGACAGAGGCUUCUCGACUCCGGAUUUCUGCAGACUGCGCUGGAGGAAGUCAUGCUGCACAGCCUUGUGCUGACACUGGGAACAGGAAUAAUCAUGAAACCACAGAUACUUCAAAAGAAAGUUUUGGAGAACAAGAUGUUUGCGUUCCCACUGCAGAUGCGGCAAGGAUCAUGAAGAAUGUCCCUCAGAGGGACACACUACACGGGACGCCAAAGAAUGUGUUCCAGAGUGUGUGGGUUCAUCAGCUUCACGGCACCUGAAGCAAGUGAAAGAUGCCAGGGAGAGUGCGGAGACAGUCAGUGGGGAGGGUGCUCUCUUUGCCCUGUUCACCUGAGGCUUUGAGAGUUAUGCAGAAGCGCUGGGGUGGUGCCUUCAGGCACUCAGAGAGGCUAGGAGACAGGGGAGCAGGCCCCAGUCCACCAGAGACACAGAGGGACCUAGGGAAGCUGUGGAAGAGGCGCUUACUGAGCAGUUAUUAGCUGGCUUCAGGACUGCAGAAAGGCAGCAGCAAAAUGUUAUGGUUUACACAGCGGCACACUGGCAGGUUUCUCAUGUCCAGCAAGCUCAGUUUUCA